RNAcentral lists this transfer RNA (65 nucleotides) under Sacoproteus smaragdinus. Its description in RNAcentral is "tRNA-Val". Lineage: Eukaryota; Metazoa; Mollusca; Gastropoda; Limapontiidae. The record is from RNAcentral.
UAUAGGGUUGAAGUAUUAAUGUACGUCUUACUUACACUAAGGAGGUUUCUAAUUAGAACGGCUCU